AGUUAAGGUUUUAGGGCCCGACCUCCCGUCACGGGGGCGAUCAAUUUGGUCGAACUCGAUGGCUCGUCUUUCUCUCUUUCGCUCUCUCCUCCCGCUCUUGUGGUUCUUCUCUGUAACCCUUCCGUAUAAAGCUCCAGAUACUUUUACCAGACCAAGCCUUAGUUGCAAACCAUGGGUUCCGAUGCUGAUAUGGAGGACUACGGGUUCGAGUACUCCGACGAGGAGCCUGAGGAGCAGGAUGUUGACAUCGAGAACCAAUACUACAACUCUAAAGGUUUAGUGGAAACUGAUCCUGAGGAAGCACUUGCUGGUUUUGCUGAAGUAGUGUGCAUGGAACCUGAGAAAGCUGAGUGCAACCACUUACCAGGAGAUUGUUGUGCUUUGUUUGAUAAGAUGCAUGAUAUAUGUAGAAUACAUGAGGAUACAGCUUAUCUGGAAAGACUAGUUAUGCAGAGAUCCAGUAAAGAUUGCCAUAUUGGUUCAUGGAUUAGUUCCGGUCUUCACACUGGUGCUAAGAUUUCUCUGUUAGUGCUUCUACGUAAGGAUUUCGUUGAGCAACUGUAUCAGAAGGCUCUUACCAUAAAGUCUGCAAUACCCCAUCCAAGAAUCAUGGGAAUAAUUCAUGAAUGUGGCGGGAAAAUGCACAUGGCUGAGAGACAAUGGGCAGAAGCUGCCACUGAUUUCUUUGAAGAGAUGAAGCUGGAAAUCAGCGUUGCAUCCAAUGUCUUAAAUAUUUGGUUCUUGCCAACAUGUUGAUGGAAUCUGAAGUGAAUCCAUUUGAUGGGCAAGAGGCAAAGCCAUACAAGAAUGAUCCUGAGGUCUUGCCAAUGGCAAAUCUGAUAGCAGCAUAUCAGCGAAAUGAGAUUUUGGAGUUUGAGAAAAUCUUGAAGAGUAACAGACAGACAAUCAUGGAUGAUCCUUUCAUCCGAAACUAUAUUGAGGAUCUUUUGAAGAAUAUCAGAACCCAAGUUCUCUUCAAGCUCAUAAAGCUCUACACUCGAAUCAGGAUUCCAUUCAUCUCAAAGGAACUCAAUGUGCCAGAGAAAGAUGUAGAGCAGCUCUUGGUCUCCUUGAUUCUGGACAACUGUAUCCAAGGUCACAUUGAUCAAGUCAACAGACUAUUAGAGCGGAGUGACAGGUCAAAGGGACUGAAGAAAUAUACUGCCAUAGACAAGUGGAAUACUCAGCUUAGAUUACUGUACCAAACAAUUUCCAAUAGAGUAAGUUAGAGGCUGUAGAGGGUACAUUCUUCGAGAGAGACAUUUGCUGUUGCUGGGUAUCCUUUUACAUGUGAAAGAGUAUGCUCUACUUAUGUACGUAUGGAGUUGGUGAAGAUUAUCAUUUUCUUCAGAAGAGCUUUUAGGGCUAUAUGUUCAUUCGUAGUGUAGAUAACUGGUGCAAAGAAUGUGGUUUUUUUGGCCACACUAGGAGAGGAAUCUAUAUAUUCUGGUGGGUUGUUCUUUCUCA
Musa acuminata subsp. malaccensis (wild Malaysian banana) is the source of this 1467-nucleotide non-coding RNA. Lineage: Eukaryota; Viridiplantae; Streptophyta; Magnoliopsida; Zingiberales; Musaceae. The record is from RefSeq and is a predicted model, not a curated record.